Molecule: transfer RNA, 73 nt
Filed under: Stegodyphus mimosarum
Lineage: Eukaryota; Metazoa; Arthropoda; Arachnida; Araneae; Eresidae
Rfam family: tRNA
About the family: Transfer RNA (tRNA) molecules are approximately 80 nucleotides in length. Their secondary structure includes four short double-helical elements and three loops (D, anti-codon, and T loops).
Source: Rfam by way of RNAcentral
GCCUUCGUGGUGUAAUGGUCAGCACAUUGAGCCGGUAAUUCAGAGGUCCGCGGUUCGAUCCCCGGCGAAGGCA